AAACGAUAUAACUGCAAAAGGUGCUGGUUCAAUAGCAGCCUGUGUAGCUACAAAACAAUUCCUCAGUAAGUUAUAUUUGGCUGAGAAUGAACUGAAGGAUGAUGGUGUGAUUUUAAUUGGCAAGGCACUCCAGGAUGGACAUGGUCAAUUGAGCGAAGUCGACAUUAGCACAAAUUCAAUCCGAAGGGCUGGGGCAAGAUUCAUAGCACAAAUAUUAGUGCAG
Molecule: unclassified non-coding RNA, 223 nt
Filed under: Hevea brasiliensis (rubber tree)
Lineage: Eukaryota; Viridiplantae; Streptophyta; Magnoliopsida; Malpighiales; Euphorbiaceae
Source: RNAcentral